Molecule: ribosomal RNA, 1220 nt
Filed under: metagenome
Description: bacterial SSU rRNA
Rfam family: Bacterial small subunit ribosomal RNA
Source: RNAcentral
AGAGUUUGUUCCUGGCUCAGGAUGAACGCUGGCGGCGUGCCUAACACAUGCAAGUCGAGCGAGAAGCUCAUGACGGACGCUUCGGUUGAAGUCACGAGUGGAAAGCGGCGGACGGGUGAGUAACGCGUAGGCAACCUGCCCUUUGCAGAGGGAUAGCCUCGGGAAACCGGGAUUAAAACCUCAUAAUACCGCAGUGAGACAUCUCACGGCGGUCAAAGAUUUAUCGGCAAAGGAUGGGCCUGCGUCUGAUUAGUUAGUUGGUGGGGUAACGGCCUACCAAGGCGACGAUCAGUAGCCGACCUGAGAGGGUGAUCGGCCAUAUUGGAACUGAGACACGGUCCAAACUCCUACGGGAGGCAGCAGUGGGGAAUAUUGCACAAUGGGGGAAACCCUGAUGCAGCAACGCCGCGUGAAGGAUGAAGGCCUUUGGGUCGUAAACUUCUGUUCUAAGGGAAGAUAGUGACGGUACCUUAGGAGCAAGUCCCGGCUAACUACGUGCCAGCAGCCGCGGUAAUACGUAGGGGGCAAGCGUUAUCCGGAAUUAUUGGGCGUAAAGAGUACGUAGGUGGUUUUCUAAGCACGGGGUUUAAGGCAAUGGCUUAACCAUUGUUCGCCUUGUGAACUGGAAGACUUGAGUGCAGGAGAGGAAAGCGGAAUUCCUAGUGUAGCGGUGAAAUGCGUAGAUAUUAGGAGGAACACCAGUGGCGAAGGCGGCUUUCUGGACUGUAACUGACACUGAGGUACGAAAGCGUGGGGAGCAAACAGGAUUAGAUACCCUGGUAGUCCAUGCCGUAAACGAUGAUUACUAGGUGUUGGAGGAUUGACCCCUUCAGUGCCGCAGUUAACACAAUAAGUAAUCCACCUGGGGAGUACGACCGCAAGGUUGAAACUCAAAGGAAUUGACGGGGGCCCGCACAAGCAGUGGAGUAUGUGGUUUAAUUCGAAGCAACGCGAAGAACCUUACCAGGUCUUGACAUCCGAUGCAUAGCUUAGAGAUAAGUGAAGUCCUUCGGGACAUCGAGACAGGUGGUGCAUGGUUGUCGUCAGCUCGUGUCGUGAGAUGUUGGGUUAAGUCCCGCAACGAGCGCAACCCUUAUUGCCAGUUACUACGCAAGAGGACUCUGGCGAGACUGCCGUUGACAAAACGGAGGAAGGUGGGGAUGACGUCAAAUCAUCAUGCCCUUUAUGACCUAGGCUACAAACGUACUACAAUGGCGUUU